Molecule: ribosomal RNA, 544 nt
Filed under: uncultured bacterium
Lineage: Bacteria
Description: bacterial SSU rRNA
Rfam family: Archaeal small subunit ribosomal RNA
Source: RNAcentral
AGUAAAUAGAUACCCGGGUAGUCCCAGCCGUAAACGAUGCUCGCUAGGUGUCAGGCAUGGCGCGACCGUGUCUGGUGCCGCAGGGAAGCCGUGAAGCGAGCCACCUGGGAAGUACGGCCGCAAGGCUGAAACUUAAAGGAAUUGGCGGGGGAGCACAACAACGGGUGGAGCCUGCGGUUUAAUUGGACUCAACGCCGGACAACUCACCGGGGGCGACAGCAAUAUGUAGGCCAGGCUGAAGACCUUGCCUGAAUCGCUGAGAGGAGGCGCAUGGCCGUCGCCAGUUCGUACUGUGAAGCAUCCUGUUAAGUCAGGCAACGAGCGAGACCCGUGCCCACUGUUACCAGCAUAUUCUCCGGAAUGAUGGGUACUCUGUGGGGACCGCCGAUGUUAAAUCGGAGGAAGGUGCGGGCCACGGUAGGUCAGUAUGCCCCGAAUCUCCCGGGCUACACGCGGGCUACAAUGGAUGGGACAAUGGGUCCCUACCCUGAAAAGGGCUGGUAAUCUCACAAACCCAUUCGUAGUUCGGAUCGAGGGCUGUAAC